This 77-nucleotide transfer RNA is filed under the name Pseudomonas syringae pv. syringae. RNAcentral describes it as "tRNA-Arg". It matches the Rfam family "tRNA". Rfam says of the family: Transfer RNA (tRNA) molecules are approximately 80 nucleotides in length. Their secondary structure includes four short double-helical elements and three loops (D, anti-codon, and T loops). Lineage: Bacteria; Pseudomonadati; Pseudomonadota; Gammaproteobacteria; Pseudomonadales; Pseudomonadaceae. The record is from RNAcentral.
GCCCUCGUAGCUCAGCUGGAUAGAGUACUCGGCUACGAACCGAGCGGUCACAGGUUCGAAUCCUGUCGAGUGCACCA